Molecule: long non-coding RNA, 3335 nt
Organism: Vespula pensylvanica (western yellowjacket)
Lineage: Eukaryota; Metazoa; Arthropoda; Insecta; Hymenoptera; Vespidae
Exons: 10
Source: RefSeq, a predicted model, not a curated record
CUUUAUAAACACUCACGUACACAUAUUCUAGAAUUGAAAAAAGAUAUUUUCCAAUAAUAUUUGCACGCCAGAUUUUAUGGACUCUUACGAAAUACGCGGGAAAGUAUAUUUCUAGACGUCAAAACGCAGCUCAACGUUAAUUCUUAAAAAGAAUCGUUAGAAUCUUGUCGUGUGACUUAUGUUUUUAUACAAGUUAUAAUUUCUUAUUUCUUGUCAACAAUGAUGCUUUUUGAUUGGCUAAUUUUCAUUUGGAUUUAAUUCGUAAUUGGUAGGAUUGAUUUCGCGAAUCAAUUAAGUAACCGGAACGGUAGUUAGCGCCAUCUUCGGAGAAUUUUUUAAGCUAACGAUCGUCUUUUGUUUUAUAUCCUUUCUUCCGGACGACUCGAAGCAGAUUUGAAAUAGUCUUCCAAAUUUUUUAAUUCUUUUUCUUACAAACAGAGAAAUGUGUUGAAGAAAUCGUCGAGAUUCCAAUCAUUCGAAGUGAAAAUGGCGUAAACGUGGAACGAUCGUUAAUCAUUUUCGCAGUUAAUAUUUCUUGAAUCCUUGAAGAUAUCAUCGAUCUUCUUUUCCUAAUGAUUUAAGUAUGUUAGAUAAGAUAAUUGAAUCUAUUAUCAGGUUACAUUCGACCUUUUUCUUUCUUUUUUUCUUUUCUAAUACGUUCCUCUCAAAUUUCAAGACACGAGGAGGGUUCGUUCGGAAAGUUUGAAAAGCUGGAAGUGGAUACCGGAAUUUUUUGUUAGAAGAAGAAGGAAAAGGAGAGAAAGAAAAAGAAGAGGAAGGAAAAAAAGAAGGUAUAGAAGAAGAGGAAGGAACUAAACUAUGAAUCAGAGGAAUAAUUUCCUACUCUCGUCAUAUGGAAUUUAUUUGACUCAUGACUAUAGUUCACCUUGGAAUAUAGUAUUCACCGAAGCAACGAUUUGUUAGAAACUGAUGAAGCUGAUAAAGUUGGUGUCCGAGAUCUCUACAAAAAAAGAAUAAAGAAAAUGAACACAUUUUGGAAGAAUUCAAAAAUUCUUGGGGAAAAGAAAAAUACAGAAAGAAGACAGAAUUUAGCGAUUACAAAAGAAAAUCAUAUUUUCCUUUUUUUGGGGAGAAAAAGAAAAAGGAAGAAGAAAUAAGGGAUGGCCUUAUGAAAAAAGUGCUUGGAAAACGGACAAGACGAUUUCUUUGAGAUUAGACGACGACGACGACGACGACGACGUUGACGACGUUAACGUCGACAUCGACGAUGAAGACUACGAUGAAGACUCCGACGAGCAAUAAUCUGAAGCUGUUUCUCUAAGAAAUGCACCCUCUCCCUCCCCUCGUUCUCCUUUUACCCCUUAAACGACCCUCUCUCCCAAAAGAAGAGGGCAGAGAAAGAAAAAAAGAAGAAGGAGAAGAAAAAAAGGAAGAAGCUUUCUAUCGUGUUCCUUUUUUCGACUCGUUUGCCUAUAUCAUAGUAAUAACGAGCAAGUUCCUGGAGAGAGCAUAAGUGUGAUAAAAAGAUAAAAGCAUGCUUGAUAAAAACGUAUUGCUUCCUUGGAAUGUUAAAAAGAAAAAGAAAGAUGGAAAAUGUGUACAUAUGUGAUACGUGCAAGUUUAAUAGGCUGUUUUUCUUUUUCCCUGUCUUUCUUUUUGUCUUUCUCACAUUUUACUCUUAUGACAAUGAUGAGUAGAGGAUAAACGAAGACAGAGAUAGAGACUGCUCUUACGUGAAAAACGAGAAAUUAUGCCGACGAUAAAGAAUAUAGGAUAAACGAAGAGAAAAGAGGACUAGAUAUAUCACAUCAAGAUUUAAAAUAGUAAUUUAUUUGUCCAUCUUAUUCGAUUGUCUUUAACGAAAUAAUUUCUUACAUAUGUUACUUCUUACAUAAAGGAUAAACAAAGAAAGAGUUAGAUAUAUUGCUCUUAUGUAAAAAGCAUAUGGAACUUUCUCUCUCUCUUACCUUUACUGACAACAAUGAACGCAGGAUAAAUGAGAAGAGAAAGAGAGAGAUAGAUAUAAACUAUUUCUAUAUGUGAAGCAUCCGGAACUUUCUCUCUUUUUUUCUCUUUUGAUCCUCUACUGGAUCCUCUUGAUGAAAACGAGUCUAAUCACAUACGAUCGUACAAUAGAUCUAUUCGAACAAAAGUAUUAAUCAACAAAAGAAAUAUUAAUCGUUUCAUUCCAGUUAUAUCUUAUUAAGAUUGAAUACAUGGAAAGUAAAAAAACAAUGAGGUUAAAUAUACAAAAAGGUCGUGUUAAUUAAACUCGAUAAUUUCGAGAAAAUAUUCAGACGGAGUAAGCUUUAAGUGCAUACAUGAACGUUCCUAAAAUGUUCAAAUUGAAGUCGAAGGUCUAUUAUGUGGAUUCACGGAUAUGACUCAAGUUUAACGCAAGUAUUAAACGCUUAAUCGGUUCUAACGAAGAACGGGUUAUCUACUGAUCGAACGUUAGCGCGUUCUUGUUUUCUAAUGUAUUUUCCACGUAUUUUAACGACGAGAGUAUCACGUAUGAGUGUCACGCAAAGCUCUUUUUCUUUCUACGAAAAACGAAUAAAAAACGAACGAAGGAGGAAAAGAAAAAAAAAAAAAAAGAAAUAGAAAAAAGAAGGAAAAGAAAGAAUGAAAGGAGGAAAGAAAAAUGAACGAACAAGAGGGUGGUUCUCGUAAAAUUGUAGUAGUGUCGAUGGUGGAUAGAAUUGAUACGAUGGUGGUGUUUGUGGUGGUGGUGAUGUUGAUGGUGGUGACAGCAGGGUCGUUCCGUGUACAUACGUUAUAAAGUGAAAGCAACAAGCACCGUUCGAGUUCUUCGAAAUCGAUCGGUAAUUUCCGGGGAGAGGUGACUUCACUCAGGGAUUCCAUCGAAGUCACGCUUUCUCGUUUCGUUUAAUAUACAUGUGUAUAAUGUACACGUGUGUAAGUAUAUAAUCCCACGAUAUAAAGUGACGAAGAAAUAUCAAAGUACUUUUCUACGUAAAUGUUCACAAAAACCUGAAGGAAAAGGCUGGACUACGACUUUAUGGGAUUCGUUAUCACCGGAAGGAACGUUAACUAGAACACUAAUAAGAAUAUCUAAAACAGAAGCUUGAGAGAGUAGAGAUUGGAAUAAUCAGAGGUCAAAUGUCAACGCGGAUGUGUAAUUCCCCCUUCCGUAUUGACACGGUGGAGUUACACGGUAAAAUGUACAAGGGUUAGAACUUUACACUUUCUGUAGUUAUGAGGACUUUUAAAUCACGUACAAGUGUCCUCUUCUUUUGAAGAAACAAAGAAAGAAAAAAAGGAAGAAAUAGAGAAAACAAAAAAGAAACAAGAAAGAAAGAAAUAAAGUGCGAGUUGAGGGAUGUCAACUAAGAGAAGGGUAAACACAACAA